GCAAGUCGAGGGGUAACAGAGGGUGCUUGCACCUUGCUGACGACCGGCGCACGGGUGCGUAACGCGUAUGCAACCUACCUUUUACAGGAGGAUAGUCAAUAGAAAUGUUGAAUAAUACUCCAUACGACCUUUGAGUGGCAUUACUUAGAGAAGAAAGCUUUUGCGGUAAAAGAUGGGCAUGCGUCCUAUUAGUUAGUUGGUGAGGUAACGGCUCACCAAGACAUCGAUCGGUAGGGGCCCUGAGAGGAGGAUC
Molecule: ribosomal RNA, 253 nt
Filed under: uncultured bacterium
Lineage: Bacteria
Description: partial 16S ribosomal RNA
Rfam family: Bacterial small subunit ribosomal RNA
Source: RNAcentral